GACGAACGCUGGCGGCGUGCUUAACACAUGCAAGUCGAACGAAGUGGCGAACGGGUGAGUAACGCGUAAUCAACCUGCCCUUCAGAGGGGGACAACAGUUGGAAACGACUGCUAAUACCGCAUACUGAAGGAGGGGAUUGCGUAGGAUUAGCUAGUGUGAGGGGUAACGGCCCACAAAGGCGAUGAUCAGUAGCCGGUCUGAGAGGAUGUACGUCCAACUUUGGGCUGGGACACGGCCCAGGUCCCUACGGGAGGCAACAGUUGGGAAACUUCCGCCAUUGACGAAAGUCUGACGGAGCAACGCCGGGUGAGUUAUGACGGCCUUCGGGUUGUAAAGCUCUGUUAAUCGGGACGCGGUACCGGAAUAGAAAGCCACGGCUAACUACGUGCCAGCAGCCGCGGUAAUAC
RNAcentral lists this ribosomal RNA (408 nucleotides) under uncultured bacterium. RNAcentral's name for it is "partial 16S ribosomal RNA". It matches the Rfam family "Bacterial small subunit ribosomal RNA", at positions 28 to 526 of the family's 1533-position model. The record is from RNAcentral.